This 253-nucleotide ribosomal RNA is filed under the name uncultured bacterium. RNAcentral's name for it is "partial 16S ribosomal RNA". It matches the Rfam family "Bacterial small subunit ribosomal RNA", at positions 524 to 776 of the family's 1533-position model. The record is from RNAcentral.
UACGGAGGAUUCGAGCGUUAUCCGGAUUUAUUGGGUUUAAAGGGUGCGUAGGCGGACUGGUAAGUCAGCUGUGAAAGUUUACGGCUCAACCGUGGAAUUGCAGUUGAUACUGUUGGUCUUGAGUAUACAUGAGGUGGGCGGAAUUUGUGGUGUAGCGGUGAAAUGCUUAGAUAUCUCAAAGAACUCCAAUUGCGAAGGCAGCCCACUGGUGUAUGACUGACGCUGAGGCACGGAGGUGUGGGUAUCAAACAGG